This 602-nucleotide ribosomal RNA is filed under the name uncultured archaeon. RNAcentral describes it as "bacterial SSU rRNA". It matches the Rfam family "Archaeal small subunit ribosomal RNA", at positions 222 to 824 of the family's 1478-position model. The record is from RNAcentral.
CUAUCAGGUAGUAGUGGGUGUAGCGUACCUACUAGCCUACGACGGGUACGGGUUGUGAGAGCAAGAGCCCGGAGAUGGAUUCUGAGACACGAAUCCAGGCCCUACGGGGUGCAGCAGGCGCGAAAACUUUACAAUGCCGGCAACGGCGAUAAGGGGACCUCGAGUGCCAGGUUACAAAUCUGGCUGUCGUGAUGCCUAAAAAGCAUUGCAUAGCAAGGGCCGGGCAAGACCGGUGCCAGCCGCCGCGGUAACACCGGCGGCUCGAGUGGUAACCGUUAUUAUUGGGUCUAAAGGGUCUGUAGCCGGCCGGAUAAGUCUCUUGAGAAAUCCAGCAGCUCAACUGUUGGGCUUUCAGGAGAUACUGUCUGGCUCGAGGCCGGGAGAGGUGAGAGGUACUUCAGGGGUAGGGGUGAAAUCUUGUAAUCCUUGAAGGACCACCAGUGGCGAAGGCGUCUCACCAGAACGGACCUGACGGCAAGGGACGAAAGCUAGGGGCACGAACCGGAUUAGAUACCCGGGUAGUCCUAGCCGUAAACGAUACUCGCUAGGUGUCGGCCACGGUGCGACCGUUGUCGGUGCCGUAGGGAAGCCGUGAAGCGAGC